GACGAACGCUGGCGGCGUGCUUAACACAUGCCAGUCGAACGGAAAGGCCCUUCGGGGUACUCGAGUGGCGAACGGGUGAGUAACACGUGGGUGAUCUGCCCUGCACUUUGGGAUAAGCCUGGGAAACUGGGUCUAAUACCGAAUAGGACCACGCGCUUCAUGGUGUGUGGUGGAAAGCUUUUGCGGUGUGGGAUGGGCCCGCGGCCUAUCAGCUUGUUGGUGGGGUAAUGGCCUACCAAGGCGACGACGGGUAGCCGGCCUGAGAGGGUGACCGGCCACACUGGGACUGAGAUACGGCCCAGACUCCUACGGGAGGCAGCAGUGGGGAAUAUUGCACAAUGGGCGCAAGCCUGAUGCAGCGACGCCGCGUGAGGGAUGACGGCCUUCGGGUUGUAAACCUCUUUCAAUAGGGACGAAGCGCAGGUGACGGUACCUAUAGAAGAAGCACCGGCCAACUACGUG
Molecule: ribosomal RNA, 462 nt
Filed under: uncultured bacterium
Lineage: Bacteria
Description: partial 16S ribosomal RNA
Rfam family: Bacterial small subunit ribosomal RNA
Source: RNAcentral